CUACGGGUCGCUCCAGUGGGGAAUAUUGCACAAUGGAGGAAACUCUGAUGCAGCAACGCCGCGUGGAGGAUGACACUUUUCGGAGCGUAAACUCCUUUUAUAUAUCAAGAUAAUGACGGUAGUAUAUGAAUAAGCACCGGCUAACUCCGUGCCAGCAGCCGCGGUAAUACGGGGGGUGCAAGCGUUACUCGGAAUCACUGGGCGUAAAGAGCAUGUAGGCGGAUUAAUAAGUUGGAAGUGAAAUCCUAUGGCUUAACCAUAGAACUGCUUCCAAAACUGUUAAUCUAGAGUAUGGGAGAGGUAGAUGGAAUUUCUGGUGUAGGGGUAAAAUCCGUAGAGAUCAGAAGGAAUACCGAUUGCGAAGGCGAUCUACUGGAACAUAACUGACGCUCAGAUGCGAAAGCGUGGGGAGCAAACAGGAUUAGAUACCCUCGUAGUC
Molecule: ribosomal RNA, 439 nt
Filed under: uncultured bacterium
Lineage: Bacteria
Description: partial 16S ribosomal RNA
Rfam family: Bacterial small subunit ribosomal RNA
Source: RNAcentral